Molecule: transfer RNA, 73 nt
Filed under: Candidatus Melainabacteria bacterium
Lineage: Bacteria; Bacillati; Candidatus Melainabacteria
Also listed under: 3 other names
Description: tRNA-Lys
Rfam family: tRNA
About the family: Transfer RNA (tRNA) molecules are approximately 80 nucleotides in length.
Source: RNAcentral
GCGUCCGUAGCUCAGCCGGUAGAGCACUCGGCUUUUAACCGAUUGGUCGCGUGUUCGAGUCACGCCGGACGCA